RNAcentral lists this ribosomal RNA (510 nucleotides) under uncultured bacterium. RNAcentral's name for it is "partial 16S ribosomal RNA". It matches the Rfam family "Bacterial small subunit ribosomal RNA", at positions 28 to 507 of the family's 1533-position model. The record is from RNAcentral.
GACGAACGCUGGCGGCGUGCUUAACACAUGCAAGUCGAACGAAGAGCGACGGAAGCUUGCUUCUAUCAAUCUUAGUGGCGAACGGGUGAGUAACGCGUAAUCAACCUGCCCUUCAGAGGGGGACAACAGUUGGAAACGACUGCUAAUACCGCAUACGAUCUAAUCUCGGCAUCGAGGAUGGAUGAAAGGUGGCCUCUACAUGUAAGCUAUCACUGAAGGAGGGGAUUGCGUCUGAUUAGCUAGUUGGAGGGGGAACGGCCCACCAAGGCGAUGAUCAGUAGCCGGUCUGAGAGGAUGAACGGCCACAUUGGGACUGAGACACGGCCCAGACUCCUUCGGGAGGCAGCAGUGGGGAAUCUUCCGCAAUGGACGAAAGUCUGACGGAGCAACGCCGCGUGAGUGAUGACGGCCUUCGGGUUGUAAAGCUCUGUUAAUCGGGACGAAAGGCCUUCUUGCGAAUAGUGAGAAGGAUUGACGGUACCGGAAUAGAAAGCCACGGCUAACUACGUG